RNAcentral lists this ribosomal RNA (708 nucleotides) under Enterobacter sp. JA64. RNAcentral's name for it is "bacterial SSU rRNA". It matches the Rfam family "Bacterial small subunit ribosomal RNA", at positions 78 to 781 of the family's 1533-position model. The record is from RNAcentral. Lineage: Bacteria; Pseudomonadati; Pseudomonadota; Gammaproteobacteria; Enterobacterales; Enterobacteriaceae.
GCUUGCUCCUGGGUGACGAGCGGCGGACGGGUGAGUAAUGUCUGGGAAACUGCCUGAUGGAGGGGGAUAACUACUGGAAACGGUAGCUAAUACCGCAUAACGUCGCAAGACCAAAGAGGGGGACCUUCGGGCCUCUUGCCAUCAGAUGUGCCCAGAUGGGAUUAGCUAGUAGGUGGGGUAACGGCUCACCUAGGCGACGAUCCCUAGCUGGUCUGAGAGGAUGACCAGCCACACUGGAACUGAGACACGGUCCAGACUCCUACGGGAGGCAGCAGUGGGGAAUAUUGCACAAUGGGCGCAAGCCUGAUGCAGCCAUGCCGCGUGUAUGAAGAAGGCCUUCGGGUUGUAAAGUACUUUCAGCGGGGAGGAAGGCGAUAAGGUUAAUAACCUCGUCGAUUGACGUUACCCGCAGAAGAAGCACCGGCUAACUCCGUGCCAGCAGCCGCGGUAAUACGGAGGGUGCAAGCGUUAAUCGGAAUUACUGGGCGUAAAGCGCACGCAGGCGGUCUGUCAAGUCGGAUGUGAAAUCCCCGGGCUCAACCUGGGAACUGCAUUCGAAACUGGCAGGCUAGAGUCUUGUAGAGGGGGGUAGAAUUCCAGGUGUAGCGGUGAAAUGCGUAGAGAUCUGGAGGAAUACCGGUGGCGAAGGCGGCCCCUGGACAAAGACUGACGCUCAGGUGCGAAAGCGUGGGGAGCAAACAGGAUUAG